Molecule: ribosomal RNA, 485 nt
Filed under: uncultured bacterium
Lineage: Bacteria
Description: bacterial SSU rRNA
Rfam family: Bacterial small subunit ribosomal RNA
Source: RNAcentral
CUACGUGCCAGCAGCCGCGGUAAUACGUAGGUCCCGAGCGUUGUCCGGAUUUAUUGGGCGUAAAGCGAGCGCAGGCGGUUAGAUAAGUCUGAAGUUAAAGGCUGUGGCUUAACCAUAGUACGCUUUGGAAACUGUUUAACUUGAGUGCAAGAGGGGAGAGUGGAAUUCCAUGUGUAGCGGUGAAAUGCGUAGAUAUAUGGAGGAACACCGGUGGCGAAAGCGGCUCUCUGGCUUGUAACUGACGCUGAGGCUCGAAAGCGUGGGGAGCAAACAGGAUUAGAUACCCUGGUAGUCCACGCCGUAAACGAUGAGUGCUAGGUGUUAGACCCUUUCCGGGGUUUAGUGCCGCAGCUAACGCAUUAAGCACUCCGCCUGGGGAGUACGACCGCAAGGUUGAAACUCAAAGGAAUUGACGGGGGCCCGCACAAGCGGAGGAACAUGUGGUUUAAUUCGAUGAUACGCGAGGAACCUUACCCGGGCUUGAA